This 228-nucleotide ribosomal RNA is filed under the name uncultured bacterium. Its description in RNAcentral is "partial 16S ribosomal RNA". It matches the Rfam family "Bacterial small subunit ribosomal RNA", at positions 568 to 795 of the family's 1533-position model. The record is from RNAcentral.
UGCGUAGGCGGAAGAUUAAGUCAGUGGUGAAAUCCUGCAGCUCAACUGUAGAACUGUCAUUGAUACUGAUUUUCUUGAAUACAGUUGAGGUAGGCGGAAUAUGUAAUGUAGCGGUGAAAUGCUUAGAUAUUACAUAGAACACCGAUUGCGAAGGCAGCUUACUAAACUGUGAUUGACGCUGAGGCACGAAAGCGUGGGGAGCGAACAGGAUUAGAUACCCUGGUAGUC